This 257-nucleotide ribosomal RNA is filed under the name uncultured bacterium. RNAcentral describes it as "partial 16S ribosomal RNA". It matches the Rfam family "Bacterial small subunit ribosomal RNA", at positions 1245 to 1500 of the family's 1533-position model. The record is from RNAcentral.
GGAAGCGAACCCGUGAGGGGGAGGCGAAACCGGAAAAUAACGUCUCAGUUCGGAUUGUAGUCUGCAACCCGACUACAUGAAGCUGGAAUCGCUAGUAAUCGCGGAUCAGAAUGCCGCGGUGAAUACGUUCCCGGGUCUUGUACACACCGCCCGUCACACCAUGGGAGUCGGGAAUGCCCGAAGCCUGUGACUGAACCGGAAGGGAAGAGCAGUCGAAGGCAGGCCUGAUGACUGGGGUGAAGUCGUAACAAGGUAUC